This 399-nucleotide ribosomal RNA is filed under the name uncultured bacterium. RNAcentral's name for it is "bacterial SSU rRNA". It matches the Rfam family "Bacterial small subunit ribosomal RNA", at positions 92 to 507 of the family's 1533-position model. The record is from RNAcentral.
UGAGUGGCGGACGGGUGAGUAACGCGUAGGUAAUCUACUCUUCGAGUGGGGGAGUACCCAGCCGAAAGGUUGGUUAAUACCGCAUACGCUCCUGUGCAGAGAGGUACAGGAGGAAAGGUUUACUGCUGAGGAAUGAGCCUGCGUCCGAUUAGCUAGUUGGUGGGGUAAAGGCUCACCAAGGCGACGAUCGGUAGCUGGUCUGAGAGGACGAUCAGCCACACUGGAACUGAGACACGGCCAGACUCCUACGGGAGGCAGCAGUGGGGAAUUUUCCGCAAUGGGCGAAAGCCUGACGGAGCAACGCCGCGUGGGUGAUGAAGUUUUUCGGAACGUAAAACCCUUUCGCCAGGGACGAAGCGAGUGACGGUACCUGGAGAAGAAGCAUCGGCUAACUACGUG